RNAcentral lists this unclassified non-coding RNA (557 nucleotides) under Cadophora bubakii. RNAcentral's name for it is "sequence contains 18S rRNA gene, ITS1, 5.8S rRNA gene, ITS2, 28S rRNA gene". The stretch from base 206 to 359 matches the Rfam family "5.8S ribosomal RNA". The record is from RNAcentral. Lineage: Eukaryota; Fungi; Ascomycota; Leotiomycetes; Helotiales; Ploettnerulaceae.
UCGUAACAAGGUUUCCGUAGGUGAACCUGCGGAAGGAUCAUUAAUAAACCUAGUCGUUCGCGACGCUAUAGGUAACCCUUGAAUAAACUACCCUUGUUGCUUUGGCGGGCCGCCUCUCGAGGCCAGCGGCUUCGGCUGCUGCGCUGCCCGCCGGAGGACCACAACUCUUGUUUUUAGUGAUGUCUGAGUACUAUAUAAUAGUUAAAACUUUCAACAACGGAUCUCUUGGUUCUGGCAUCGAUGAAGAACGCAGCGAAAUGCGAUAAGUAAUGUGAAUUGCAGAAUUCAGUGAAUCAUCGAAUCUUUGAACGCACAUUGCGCCCUUUGGUAUUCCGAAGGGCAUGCCUGUUCGAGCGUCAUUAUAACCACUCAAGCUCUCGCUUGGUAUUGGGGUUCGCGGCUUCGCGGCUCCUAAAGUCAGUGGCGGUGCCUGUCGGCUCUACGCGUAGUAAUACUCCUCGCGUCUGGGUUCCGGUAGGUUGCUUGCCAGCAACCCCUAAUUUUUUUCAGGUUGACCUCGGAUCAGGUAGGGAUACCCGCUGAACCUAAGCAUAUCA